CGAACGCUGGCGGCGUGCUUAACACAUGCAAGUCGAACGGAAAGGCCCUGCUUUUGUGGGGUGCUCGAGUGGCGAACGGGUGAGUAACACGUGAGUAACCUGCCCUUGACUUUGGGAUAACUUCAGGAAACUGGGGCUAAUACCGGAUAGGAGCUCCUGCUGCAUGGUGGGGGUUGGAAAGGUUCGGCGGUUGGGGAUGGACUCGCGGCUUAUCAGCUUGUUGGUGGGGUAGUGGCUUACCAAGGCUUUGACGGGUAGCCGGCCUGAGAGGGUGACCGGCCACAUUGGGACUGAGAUACGGCCCAGACUCCUACGGGAGGCAGCAGUGGGGAAUAUUGCACAAUGGGCGGAAGCCUGAUGCAGCAACGCCGCGUGCGGGAUGACGGCCUUCGGGUUGUAAACCGCUUUCGCCUGUGACGAAGCGUGAGUGACGGUAAUGGGUAAAGAAGCACCGGCUAACUACGUG
This 466-nucleotide ribosomal RNA is filed under the name uncultured bacterium. RNAcentral describes it as "partial 16S ribosomal RNA". It matches the Rfam family "Bacterial small subunit ribosomal RNA", at positions 30 to 507 of the family's 1533-position model. The record is from RNAcentral.